RNAcentral lists this ribosomal RNA (463 nucleotides) under soil bacterium 14G-11. Its description in RNAcentral is "bacterial SSU rRNA". It matches the Rfam family "Bacterial small subunit ribosomal RNA", at positions 23 to 484 of the family's 1533-position model. The record is from RNAcentral.
CUCAGAUUGAACGCUGGCGGCAUGCUUUACACAUGCAAGUCGAACGGCAGCGCGGGGCAACCUGGCGGCGAGUGGCGAACGGGUGAGUAAUAUAUCGGAACGUACCCAAGAGUGGGGGAUAACGUAGCGAAAGUUACGCUAAUACCGCAUACGAUCUAAGGAUGAAAGUGGGGGAUCUUCGGACCUCAUGCUCCUGGAGCGGCCGAUAUCUGAUUAGCUAGUUGGUGAGGUAAAGGCUCACCAAGGCGACGAUCAGUAGCUGGUCUGAGAGGACGACCAGCCACACUGGGACUGAGACACGGCCCAGACUCCUACGGGAGGCAGCAGUGGGGAAUUUUGGACAAUGGGCGCAAGCCUGAUCCAGCAAUGCCGCGUGAGUGAAGAAGGCCUUCGGGUUGUAAAGCUCUUUUGUCAGGGAAGAAACGGCUCAGGCUAAUAUCCUGGGCUAAUGACGGUACCGAAG